AGAUGUCCUUGACAGAGGAUAGGGGUGCCUUUUAUAAGGAUGACCUGAUUCAGCAGGGGCUUCCCUGAAAGGGGCGAGAGAGAGGUGAAGUCUGCAGGGGACGCAGGGCAGAGUGAGGGGCCUGGUAGGAAGCCCUUGGCAGGGUUGGGUGGGGCGCUACAAAACCAUCUCGAAAGACAAGAGAGACCCCUUGCCACGCUGCCUAUUUGAGGGGAAGUCUCUGAACCUGAGUGACGACAGUGAAGAGAAACUAAAAAACAGUCAUGUUCCAGUGGAAGAAAGAAUGCCCAGAACCUGAGCCCAAAAGAGCACAGACGACUCUUCCACAUACCCAGCGCCCCGGAAUUCACACAGAGAAGUCACUGUCUUCCUUAAGGAAGUCCUCAGUCGUCUCCCUGAGCAACAUGAAGAGAACAGUGAGUCAGCCCAGGGCACAGCCAGCCCCCUCCUGCUCCCCAGAUCAGCACGCAGCAUGCCAGCAUCCUGGGACACAGACAUCCUUGUCCUCAGAAGUUACCCAAACCGUCUGCUCCUGCCUUGAGCUUUCUGAGAAGAGUGCCUUUCUCAAGUUCAUUUCCAUGUCCCCAGAGACACACGGGUCUUCCCAGCUGGUGCAGUGGUAAAGAAUCCACCUGCCAAUUCAGGGGAUGCAAGAGACACAGGUUCGAUCCCUACGUCGGGAAGAUCCCCUGGAGGAAGAAAUGGCAACCCACUGCCUGAAGAAUCCCAUGGACAGAGGAGCCUGGUGGGCUACAGUUCAUAGGGUUGCAAAGAGUCAGACAUGACUGAAGCAACUUAGCACGUGUAUGCAAUAGGCAGAUUCUAUGUAAAAAUUUCUAAAUUCUUAGACGUGGAAUUUUCAGCAAAAGCAAUGAUUUUUCUCCUGCUCCCUUUAGAGAGUGCUAUCGUUUUCAUAAAGAAGGAAAAACAACCUUAAUCAUCACUCACAGGAGGAACAGGAUAGUAGGAUGGUACAAGAGCAGAGAAGGGUCAGUGAAACGGGAUAGAGAGCCCCCAGAUAGACCCACACGGAUGACAAGCAUGGUCAGCUGAGCUUUGACCAAGGAGCAAAGGCAAUUCAAAACAGAAAGCCUAGUCUUCUCAAUGAAAGAUGUUGCAACAACUGGAUCCUGCAGGGCUGUGAACUGUGGGAGGGAAAAUAGAAACUCAGAUUCUUCCUGAAGUCACUAGAACAUAAUCAGUUAAUUUCUUUCUGGAGGCUGGUCAGGGAUGCGCAUGCACAGCUGAUUGUUCUUUUAAAAUACAGACCUUAAAUAUAUGAGUCGUAUUUUCUAUAGUUAGUCUGUAACUAAGGUUUCCUAAGCAUAAAAAUAACGUUUCUCCCAGCACUACAAUUUAAUUUUACUUAUGGCCCAUUCACAAUUCCUGGGCAUCUUUAUGGUGUUACAUUUACAAGUUUGCAUUCAUUUUUACAGCUCCGUGUGUGAAACUGUUUU
This 1457-nucleotide long non-coding RNA is filed under the name Bos indicus x Bos taurus (hybrid cattle). RNAcentral's name for it is "lncRNA (ENSBIXG00000012557.1)". Lineage: Eukaryota; Metazoa; Chordata; Mammalia; Artiodactyla; Bovidae. The record is from RNAcentral.